RNAcentral lists this long non-coding RNA (1170 nucleotides) under Brassica napus (rape). RNAcentral describes it as "long non-coding RNA (BNAP_LNC003799)". The record is from RNAcentral. Lineage: Eukaryota; Viridiplantae; Streptophyta; Magnoliopsida; Brassicales; Brassicaceae.
GUAGACAAAAAUUGUUCUUCACAUUAAAAACUUAGUUAUCGUUUUGUUAAUAACAGACUAGCCUCUCUUUAGUCAUUUAGUUUUUUCACCCUUCAGUAAUAGUAAUAGGGAAAACAUCAAAAACAUAGCAGCAAAUAUUUUUUUUUUUUCCCGUCAAAGUUAUUUUUAAUUAAAAUUCAGGGGACUAAGCCCAACAAGGCUGGCCCAACACCAGAAACAAAUUACAAUACUAAGGCCCACAAAACGCUGGGCAAAAUUUAAAACACAAGACGGGCCUAAAGCCCACACCAAACGCCACAAACUCAACGGGCCGGACUUCCCCUUAUGACCCACUCGUCAAGGAGGCGGGACACGUGUUGUAAUCUCCUUCUCAGCACGCCACGCGUCAACCUAUACCUCGACAUGACCGUCGGCGAAGCGAGAAGCCCCAAACCCCACCACCGAAACCCUCGUUACGGCGGAGCUCAAAACCGGAGAGCCUCCACCGAAACCUCUUUUCUUCCGUUUACUGACCUUUCUACGGAGAGCCGCCUCGAUCUCUUCGAGCCCUCAUCCGCCUUGUGAAAGCCACGAACCACAGAACUCAUCGAUCCAACACUAUGUUCGAUCCAAAACCGAGAACACCACUUUACCCCACUAGAACCGGCGACGCAAGGCUAAGUACGCCUUCACCCCCCGGAGACAGGACCGACGAGGCUUGCUGAAGAAGCCAAACACCUCCCGGAGACUUGACCGGCGGCGACGGAGCUUUAGUAGCCUCCACCUCCCGGAGUAUAACUUCACCACACUUUACCCCUCCACGCGACUGCGCCUUCACUCCAGCAACCCAUCCACCGUAGAUGGCGGUUCACUCAUCGAGCUAGCGCCUCCGGAUGAGAGCUAAACCAGAACUCCGGCAAGGCGAAUCAAGGGGAGAGAGCCAAAAAACGGACUGCUUAAACGGACAAGGAAGGACAAGCGGUUCCGGUGACGGCACGCGCGCCGACGCGCCGACCGCUCACCGGAACCAGAUCUACUUUCUCUCUCUUCUCUCUCUUCUCUCUCUUUCAAAACAUCUAAAGGCUGACUACUUCCAAACAUAGCAGCAAAUAACAUUAACAAGAAAUGACCAUAUCAUAUUCAUAAGAAAGCGUACGAAGGAUUCAGAGAGAUUUAACACAUCGUAGAAUA